RNAcentral lists this transfer RNA (75 nucleotides) under bacterium. Its description in RNAcentral is "tRNA-Thr". It matches the Rfam family "tRNA". Rfam says of the family: Transfer RNA (tRNA) molecules are approximately 80 nucleotides in length. Their secondary structure includes four short double-helical elements and three loops (D, anti-codon, and T loops). Further hydrogen bonds mediate the characteristic L-shaped molecular structure. tRNAs have two regions of fundamental functional importance: the anti-codon, which is responsible for specific mRNA codon recognition, and the 3' end, to which the tRNAs corresponding amino acid is attached (by aminoacyl-tRNA synthetases). tRNAs cope with the degeneracy of the genetic code in two manners: having more than one tRNA (with a specific anti-codon) for a particular amino acid; and 'wobble' base-pairing, i.e. permitting non-standard base-pairing at the 3rd anti-codon position. The record is from RNAcentral.
GCCGGCUUAGCUCAGUGGUAGAGCAACAGUUUUGUAAACUGUAGGUCGUCGGUUCGAAUCCGACAGCCGGCUCCA